Molecule: ribosomal RNA, 507 nt
Filed under: Shigella sonnei
Lineage: Bacteria; Pseudomonadati; Pseudomonadota; Gammaproteobacteria; Enterobacterales; Enterobacteriaceae
Description: bacterial SSU rRNA
Rfam family: Bacterial small subunit ribosomal RNA
Source: RNAcentral
GACCAAAGAGGGGGACCUUCGGGCCUCUUGCCAUCGGAUGUGCCCAGAUGGGAUUAGCUAGUAGGUGGGGUAACGGCUCACCUAGGCGACGAUCCCUAGCUGGUCUGAGAGGAUGACCAGCCACACUGGAACUGAGACACGGUCCAGACUCCUACGGGAGGCAGCAGUGGGGAAUAUUGCACAAUGGGCGCAAGCCUGAUGCAGCCAUGCCGCGUGUAUGAAGAAGGCCUUCGGGUUGUAAAGUACUUUCAGCGGGGAGGAAGGGAGUAAAGUUAAUACCUUUGCUCAUUGACGUUACCCGCAGAAGAAGCACCGGCUAACUCCGUGCCAGCAGCCGCGGUAAUACGGAGGGUGCAAGCGUUAAUCGGAAUUACUGGGCGUAAAGCGCACGCAGGCGGUUUGUUAAGUCAGAUGUGAAAUCCCCGGGCUCAACCUGGGAACUGCAUCUGAUACUGGCAAGCUUGAGUCUCGUAGAGGGGGGUAGAAUUCCAGGUGUAGCGGUGAAAU